AGGAAUAUUGGUCAAUGGACGCAAGUCUGAACCAGCCAUGUCGCGUGGAGGAUGAAGGUCCUCUGGAUUGUAAACUUCUUUUAUCUGGGACGAAACACUUCUUUUCUAAGAGGCCUGACGGUACCAGAUGAAUAAGCACCGGCUAACUCCGUGCCAGCAGCCGCGGUAAUACGGAGGGUGCAAGCGUUAUCCGGAUUCACUGGGUUUAAAGGGUGCGUAGGUGGGUAUGUAAGUCAGUGGUGAAAUCCCCGAGCUUAACUUGGGAACUGCCAUUGAUACUAUAUAUCUUGAAUACCGUAGAGUUAAGCGGAAUAUGUCAUGUAGCGGUGAAAUGCUUAGAUAUGACAUGGAACACCAAUUGCGAAGGCAGCUUACUAUGCGGUGAUUGACACUGAGGCACGAAAGCGUGGGUAGCAAAC
RNAcentral lists this ribosomal RNA (419 nucleotides) under uncultured bacterium. RNAcentral describes it as "bacterial SSU rRNA". It matches the Rfam family "Bacterial small subunit ribosomal RNA", at positions 357 to 773 of the family's 1533-position model. The record is from RNAcentral.